CCUACGGGAGGCAGCAGUGGGGAAUAUUGGGCAAUGGGCGCAAGCCUGACCCAGCAACGCCGCGUGAAGGAAGAAGGCUCUCGGGUUGUAAACUUCUUUUAAGAGGGAAGUGCAGAAGACGGUACCUCUUGAAUAAGCCAUGGCUAACUACGUGCCAGCAGCGGCGGCAAUACGUAGGUGGCAAGUGUUGUCCGGAUUUACUGGGUGUAAAGGGCGUGCAGCCGGGAAGACAAGUCAGAUGUGAAAUCCCGCGGCGCAAGGGCGGAACUGCAUUUGAAACUGUUUUUCUUGAGUACCGAAGAGGUGAGCGGAAUGCGUUGUGUAGCGGUGAAAUGCGUAGAUAUAAGACAGAACACCGGUUGCGAAGGCGGAUGACUGGACGGCAACUGACGGUGAGGCGCGAAAGCGUGGGGAGCAAACAGGAUUAGAUACCCUGAUAGUC
This 442-nucleotide ribosomal RNA is filed under the name uncultured bacterium. RNAcentral's name for it is "partial 16S ribosomal RNA". It matches the Rfam family "Bacterial small subunit ribosomal RNA", at positions 338 to 795 of the family's 1533-position model. The record is from RNAcentral.